CUUCAGCAUAAUCUAUCAUCUGUAUUUCCGCCGGCGCUCAGCCUCAAGAGCUAAGUUUCCUGUCGCGUGGAUGUGGUCAAAGUGUGCUCAAUGCCAUCCACCGUAAUCUGCAGACAUCCCCCGUGUUCCCAGGCUGUCUGCUCGGCUGCCCGAUGCAGGGCACCAAGAUUGUAGACUGCGCGGCCCUCCUGGAGACCGAUGGAAGCUCUCUGGGUCGACAGAUUACAGCUUCUGCGGCAGCUGGAUCCCCCUACUCCCUUCAUCUCCCUGGGGGACGCCCACUACCCAGGGAGAGGAUGCCUGGAAAUAACAGCUGGGGUGCACAGCGGCCAUAAGAGCUGUCUCCAUCCUUCCAGACCUCUGGACCAUGCUGUUCCGGAGUGA
Molecule: long non-coding RNA, 384 nt
Filed under: Meriones unguiculatus (Mongolian gerbil)
Lineage: Eukaryota; Metazoa; Chordata; Mammalia; Rodentia; Muridae
Description: lncRNA (ENSMUGG00000020360.1)
Source: RNAcentral